Molecule: ribosomal RNA, 534 nt
Filed under: uncultured bacterium
Lineage: Bacteria
Description: bacterial SSU rRNA
Rfam family: Bacterial small subunit ribosomal RNA
Source: RNAcentral
UUACCUGGGCUCGAAAUGUAGUGGACCGGGUGGAAACAUCCCUUCCGCAAGGGCUGCUAUAUAGGUGCUGCAUGGCUGUCGUCAGCUCGUGUCGUGAGAUGUUGGGUUAAGUCCCGCAACGAGCGCAACCCUUAUUGCCAGUUGCCAUCAUUUAGUUGGGCACUCUGGCGAAACUGCCCCGGAUAACGGGGAGGAAGGUGGGGAUGACGUCAAGUCCUCAUGGCCUUUAUGUCCAGGGCUACACACGUGCUACAAUGGGUGGUACAAACCGUCGCAAACCCGCGAGGGGGAGCUAAUCGGAAAAAGCCAUCCUCAGUUCGGAUUGGAGUCUGCAACUCGACUCCAUGAAGCUGGAAUCGCUAGUAAUCGCGGAUCAGCACGCCGCGGUGAAUACGUUCCCGGGCCUUGUACACACCGCCCGUCACAUCACGAAAGUGGGUUGUACUAGAAGUCGCCGUGCCGACCUUACGGGGGCAGGCGCCCAAGGUAUAAUUCAUGAUUGGGGUGAAGUCGUAACAAGGUAGGCGUAGUGCU